CAAAUGGAUGGCCUGCGGGCAUGGGCAAGCCCGCAGAUACCUAACUGCCCGACUGCUCGCGUGCAGCUUUCCGGAUCAGGAUUCGGGGGGGACUUACAGCCUUUCCGAUCCCACGGGCUGCUGAACGCUUGACAGUUUACCCCUUGUGAAAAACUUUUUGUUGCUUCGGCAGCGCCUCCCCGUUCCACGAGGAGGGUCAGCCUGCCGGUGGCAUUUCAGGAAACCCUUUAGCUGAAACUUAGCAUAAGCACACGUCUGAGAGCGCAGUCGAAUGACACAUA
This 281-nucleotide unclassified non-coding RNA is filed under the name uncultured fungus. Its description in RNAcentral is "sequence contains ITS1". The record is from RNAcentral. Lineage: Eukaryota; Fungi.